Molecule: ribosomal RNA, 249 nt
Filed under: uncultured bacterium
Lineage: Bacteria
Description: partial 16S ribosomal RNA
Rfam family: Bacterial small subunit ribosomal RNA
Source: RNAcentral
GCAAGUCGAGGGGUAACAUUGUAGCUUGCUACAGAUGACGACCGGCGCACGGGUGCGUAACGCGUAUGAAACCUACCUAAUACAGAGGGAUAGCCCAGAGAAAUUUGGAUUAAUACCUCAUGGUACUGUGAUCUCACCUGAGAUUAGUUAAAGAUUUAUCGGUAUUAGAUGGUCAUGCGUUCUAUUAGUUAGUUGGUAAGGUAACGGCUUACCAAGACCGCGAUAGAUAGGGGCCCUGAGAGGGGGAUC